This 250-nucleotide small nucleolar RNA is filed under the name Microtus ochrogaster (prairie vole). Lineage: Eukaryota; Metazoa; Chordata; Mammalia; Rodentia; Cricetidae. The record is from RNAcentral.
CUGGCUGAUGAGACCAAGGCGAAUGCGACUGUGCCUGCUGACUCUUGGCUUGGGGGGGGGGGUGAUGAGAUCUGUAAUCUUGGUGGGGGUACCGAGACCUGACUUCCCGCUUUUAAACAGAUCACUAGCAUUGCUGGCCUUGCCUUCAUGUCUGCUGCCACCACAGUUCUUGGCAGCAGCCUGCAGGGAGGCCCACAGAGGGGGGGCCAAAGUGUGAGUGGCUUAUGUGAGCGCAACCUUGAAUCUGACA